CCAUAGCCCUGAUAGCAGCGGCAUCCUUUUUAUCUUGAAUUUAGUUCAGGAUUCUGAACUAAAUUCAAGAUAAAAAGAUAUAGCGAAUAGCAGGAAAUUGC
RNAcentral lists this small RNA (101 nucleotides) under Flavobacterium gillisiae. RNAcentral's name for it is "Flavo-1 RNA". It matches the Rfam family "Flavo-1 RNA". The record is from RNAcentral. Lineage: Bacteria; Pseudomonadati; Bacteroidota; Flavobacteriia; Flavobacteriales; Flavobacteriaceae.